RNAcentral lists this ribosomal RNA (429 nucleotides) under Chloroflexota bacterium. RNAcentral's name for it is "Chloroflexi bacterium partial 16S ribosomal RNA". It matches the Rfam family "Bacterial small subunit ribosomal RNA", at positions 355 to 776 of the family's 1533-position model. Lineage: Bacteria; Bacillati; Chloroflexota. The record is from RNAcentral.
UGGGGAAUAUUGCACAAUGGGCGCAAGCCUGAUGCAGCCAUGCCGCGUGUAUGAAGAAGGCCUUCGGGUUGUAAAGUACUUUCAGCGGGGAGGAAGGGAGUAAAGUUAAUACCUUUGCUCAUUGACGUUACCCGCAGAAGAAGCACCGGCUAACUCCGUGCCAGCAGCCGCGGUAAUACGGAGGGUGCAAGCGUUAAUCGGAAUUACUGGGCGUAAAGCGCACGCAGGCGGUUUGUUAAGUCAGAUGUGAAAUCCCCGGGCUCAACCUGGGAACUGCAUCUGAUACUGGCAAGCUUGAGUCUCGUAGAGGGGGGUAGAAUUCCAGGUGUAGCGGUGAAAGGCGUAGAGAUAUGGAGGAAUACCGGUGGCGAAGGCGGCCCCCUGGACGAAGACUGACGCUCAGGUGCGAAAGCGUGGGGAGCAAACAGG